GCAAGUCGAACGAAGAUGUUCUUGUGUUCGCACGAGAGCUCUUAGUGGCGGACGGGUGAGUAACGCGUUGGUGACCUGCCCUAAAGAAGGGAACAACCUCGGGAAACUGAGGCUAAUACCCUAUGUGCUUCUAUAAGAUUAGAUGCUUAUGAAGUAAAGGUUCUGUGGACGAAAGGCUGCAGUGCCGCUUUAGGAGGGGCCUGCGUCCCAUCAGCUAGUUGGUAGGGUAAUGGCCUACCAAGGCAAUGACGGGUAGGGGACCUGAGAGGGUGACCCCCCACACUAGCACUGAAACACGGGCUAGACAUCUACGGAUGGCAGCAGUAGGGAAUCUUGCACAAUCGACGAAAGUCUGAUGCAGCAACGCCGCGUGUGCGAUGAAGGCCUUCGGGUUGUAAAGCACUUUUCUGAGGGAAGAGAAAGGACGGUACCUCAGGAAUAAGUCUCGGCUAACUACGUGCCAGCAGCCGCGGUAAUACGUAGGAGGCAAGCGUUAUCCGGAUUUAUUGGGCGUAAAGCGUGUGCAGGUGGUUUGGUAAGUUGGGUAUGAAAUCUCCUGGCUUAACUAGGAGAGGUUGCUCAAAACUACCAGACUAGAGGACGGUAGAGGAAGGUGGAAUUCCCGGUGUAGUAGUGAAAUGCGUAGAUAUCGGGAGGAACACCAGUGGCGAAGGCGGCCUUCUGGGCCGUUCCUGACACUAAGACACGAAAGCAUGGGUAGCAAACGGGAUUAGAAACCCCGGUAGUCCAUGCCGUAAACGAUGUGAACUUGAUGUCGGUAGCGUAAUAGUUAUCGGUGUCGUAGCUAACGCGGUAAGUUCACCGCCUGGGAGUACGAUCGCAAGGUUAAAACUCGAA
Molecule: ribosomal RNA, 858 nt
Filed under: uncultured Chloroflexota bacterium
Lineage: Bacteria; Bacillati; Chloroflexota
Description: bacterial SSU rRNA
Rfam family: Bacterial small subunit ribosomal RNA
Source: RNAcentral